RNAcentral lists this long non-coding RNA (685 nucleotides) under Phasianus colchicus (ring-necked pheasant). RNAcentral describes it as "lncRNA (ENSPCLG00000006269.1)". The record is from RNAcentral. Lineage: Eukaryota; Metazoa; Chordata; Aves; Galliformes; Phasianidae.
AUGGGCGGCCGCUCCAUGUUCAGAUGGAGCAGCAAAGCCGGGCUCGGCCGGGGCAGCGCCACAAAGGCGGCUCAGAGCAGCUCCUGCUUCCCGCAGCCCCAUUCACAGUCUGCCCAAUUCGUGUUUAUUCAUGGGUACCGCAGCACUCGGGCUGUGGGAGACGACUCACUUAGCGCUGAGCUCUCACUAAUUGGCUAUCAGCUCAGCGGUCCUCUCUUUGUGUCAGAGCAAAGCAUGGGAAUCGCACCACGCGCGACGCCCGCAUGGCAGCACACACCGAGCUCGGGAGUCGUCACACAGACAGAUGUGCCACAGCCCUUUGCACCACCUCUCUCAGCUUUCCGCUUCGGAGUCGCAGCCUACAAGGAAGGAAUCAGCAGAGGGAGGAAUGGGGAGGAAGAUGCAGGAGUGCCGUGCCCCUCUGCUGCACUGUGGGCUGCCCGUGGGCACACGGCCGCGCUGCACACGGGACACGGCCCACAGCUGCACACGCGUGGCACAGCCCCGCACACGCGUGCACCCCCGGCCCUGAGACAGAAGGCACUGAAAAAGGAAUUGAGAUUUGCAGAUCUGAUAAUGAGCCAGUUAAUGACAUAAAUGAUACCUCAAGAACCUCACUAAACCAUCCAGGUCCUACAAUUUAAUCUGUAAUAAAUACUCCUGCAUCAUUGCGAGAUGGCUGCUC